ACUUUGGUGGCGACCGGCGCACGGGUGAGUAACGCGUAUCGCAACCUACCUAUCAGAGGGGAAUAACCCGGCGAAAGUCGGACUAAUACCGCAUAAAACAGGGGCACCGCAUGGUGAUAUUUGUUAAAGAAAUUCGCUGAUAGAUGGGCAUGCGUUCCAUUAGGUAGUUGGUGAGGUAACGGCUCACCAAGCCGACGAUGGAUAGGGGAACUGAGAGGUUGGUCCCCCACACUGGUACUGAGACACGGACCAGACUCUACGGGAGGCAGCAGUGAGGAAUAUUGGUCAAUGGGCGAGAGCCUGAACCAGCCAAGUCGCGUGAAAGGAAGAAGGAUCUAUGGUUCGUAAACUUCUUUUGCAGGGGAAUAAAGUGCAGGACGUGUCCUGUUUUGUAUGUACCCUGAGAAUAAGGAUCGGCUAACUCCGUGCCAGCCGCUGC
Molecule: ribosomal RNA, 439 nt
Filed under: uncultured bacterium
Lineage: Bacteria
Description: bacterial SSU rRNA
Rfam family: Bacterial small subunit ribosomal RNA
Source: RNAcentral